RNAcentral lists this long non-coding RNA (1647 nucleotides) under Heterocephalus glaber (naked mole-rat). RNAcentral's name for it is "lncRNA (ENSHGLG00000046612.1)". The record is from RNAcentral. Lineage: Eukaryota; Metazoa; Chordata; Mammalia; Rodentia; Bathyergidae.
AAUAAAUACAACAGCCUUUGUUACCCUUCCUCAAGGCUUUGCGUCAAAUGCCACCUCCCCAGGAAGACCUUCCUGGUCACCACCUGCCUUAGCCAUUUGGGCAUGAUUGCUCCCUCCCCUGAAUUCUGCUGCACCUUUGUCAUGUCUCCUGAGCUGCUAUUCACAUGUUCCUGGAUUGUGCUAAGGCUGUGUGUGCGUAUCUUGCAUGUGUCAACAGAAUGAUAGUGAAGGAUUAGCUGUGGGAUGAUGGUGGGGCUUGAUCUGAAACAGUGGCUUACGAGUGACGCACCCUACUGGAUGUGAGAAUGAUGGGAGACAAGAACACAAAUGAUGCUGGCCUGACAUCCCCCUGGCUUGUAAAAGAUGACACAUUCUUCUCUGGAUAAACCAGCUUCCAUGAAGCAAAGGCCCAAAGCAGUGCCCUCCUGUCUGCCUAUAAGCCACAUGAAGUGAAAGGCCAUGUCUUGAACGGAGAAGAACAAAUUUGGGCAUGUUGCAAAUGUGGCCUGGAGUUUGUACUGUGAGAUUAAAGGAUGUCUGGUUGAAAUAAAGACAGGCCAAAAAAAAAAAAACCAGACUGAAGGAAGGAAAUUACAGGCUAUAGGAGUCUUGGGCCUGGAGGCCCAAAUGAAGCUGGUAAAGUGCCUCACUGUUUGUCAGAGGUCAGCAGAAGAGGGGGAAGCACUUGGCUACUGAAGUGGACAAUGGAAGUGACUUUGUUAGAGGCUGAGAAGAAGAAUUCUCUCCCUAAGUGCUGGGGAUCAAAUCCAGGACCUCAAAUGUGCUCGGUGAUUUGGCCACAUUCUUCAAGGUCUUUCUGUCAUGUUUUCUGAUACAGUUAACAUAAUCUGCAGCCACCUUUUCUGGGAAUUGGUCUCACUCACAAGCGAUGCUCAAAGACUAUGCCUCGCACAGAAUAAGUGCCAAUAAAUAUUUGUUGAAUUGAUUUUCCUCUUCAAAGAUGUGGCAGAAAGACCCUCCUGCCUUAUGGACAUAAUUCUUUUGUGCAGCGGUUAUUGAAUUCCUUCUGCAUGGAUAUUGGUUGCAUCAGCCAAUACAAGAUGUCUUUCUUGUGUUUCCUGAUGUGGAAACCAGACCCUGCUCUGUGAUGGAGUCUCCUGAUGUUGACCAGCCUCUUCCUGCCUCCCUACAGCAAGGUGGGGUCCUCCCUGAUGAUGACAGCAAGAUGCAAGUUAAGACUAUAAACCCUGUGUGGUGAGGAACUCUGUCCAUGUUACUCAGAACUCUAAGGAGCUGGAAGUCACAGAAGAAGACAGAUCAAGGAUGCAGUACUGGUCUGAGCCAGAAGGCUGGGAAGCUUCCCAGAGAGUUGCUGGCAUUAGUCUGCAUUGAAAGGCUGAAAAACUAGAGUCUGAUAUCCACAGGUGAUGACAGUAGCAAAGGACAUGCCUAUUCAAGCAGAGCGGAGCUUUCUAAAUGCAAGCUGAAUGCCUUCCUUCUUUCCUUCUCAUUCCACCCAGGCUAUAAGCCUGCUUCUUGGUGUUACCCACAAUCAGGAGAGUUCUUCCUUCUCAUGCCAAUGGUCUCUGAAAUCAUGACACAGACACACCCAGAAGUGUGUUUUACUAAUCUGCUAGGCUUUUCUUAGUCUAGUCAAAUCGAUAUAUCACAAUUAACAGUCACAGG